GAUGAACGCUGGCGGCGUGCUUAACACAUGCAAGUCGAACGAAGCAUUUAGAACAGAUUAUUUCGGUAUGAAGUUCUUUAUGACUGAGUGGCGGACGGGUGAGUAACGCGUGGGUAACGUGCCUUGUACUGUGGGAUAGCAGCUGGAAACGACUGGUAAUACCGCAUACGGCCACAAUGGUGCAUGACAUUGGGUGAAAAACUCCGGUGGUAUAGGAUGGACCCGCGUCUGAUUAGCUAGUUGGUGAGAUAACAGCCCACCAAGGCGACGAUCAGUAGCCGACCUGAGAGGGUGACCGGCCACAUUGGGACUGAGACACGGCCCAGACUCCUACGGGAGGCAGCAGUGGGGAAUAUUGCACAAUGGAGGAAACUCUGAUGCAGCGACGCCGCGUGAGUGAAGAAGUAAUUCGUUAUGUAAAGCUCUAUCAGCAGGGAAGAUAGUGACGGUACCUGACUAAGAAGCUCCGGCUAAAUACGUGCCAGCAGCCGCCGUAA
Molecule: ribosomal RNA, 497 nt
Filed under: uncultured bacterium
Lineage: Bacteria
Description: partial 16S ribosomal RNA
Rfam family: Bacterial small subunit ribosomal RNA
Source: RNAcentral